Molecule: long non-coding RNA, 472 nt
Organism: Bos taurus (domestic cattle)
Lineage: Eukaryota; Metazoa; Chordata; Mammalia; Artiodactyla; Bovidae
Source: Ensembl
AGACCAAGGGGACAUUCUCCCUUAGGAGAGCUGGAGUUUGCUAGCACUUUCUCUCCUCUGCCUAUCUAUAAUUUAAGUAUUCUGUUACUGAGUGCCCACCCUCCAGACAUCUUCAAGUAACUAAGUGAAGUAAAAUUCUGAUACUUAAUUUAUUAAGAUACUGCAUGGCUUUCUCUGAGUUACAGAGUGAUGCUAGGAAACUGCUCAACUCUCUAAAAGCUAGGACUAUGUCACAAACAAUUGCUUAAGAAACUCCUAUGAUGGACCAAGCUCCUGUGCCUGUCUGCCGUUGGAAGUUGCCAAAGAAAGAGUGGUAUUGUACUGAGUGGAUUAGAACUUCAAAUGCUGCAAAGAUACAAAAGUGCUUUACUGUAAAAUCCAAGACACAGGACAGCCCUAUUUUGUGGAAAAGAUACCUGAAACCCAGAAAUAUGAAUCUGUAAAGAACUGGCUUAGUGAUUCUAAACCACGA